CAGCUUUUGGAGCCAUUGCAGAGCCCUCUACCGAAUCACUUGUUUUCCUUUGGGGCAAUACCAAAUGUGAGGGCCAAAGGGAGAGCAUUAGUACGUGUAGCUGACAUUCUAAAUCAUUUGCAAAGAAAGGAACCUGUUAACUCAAAUGAUGUAAAUGUUGAACUAGAAGGCACCCCGUUCUCUCUUUCUUUUCAAUUUCCUUUAAAGAAUUUAUUCAAGGAUUGAUUUAUUCAUUUUAUUUUAGAUGGUUGUGCCAGAGAUAAAUACACUUAUUCUUAUGGACAGGGAGGUGAAGUUUCAUUGAACUCCAUCAUAUUCGGUUGUGAAUGUCAUUAUGUAACGUGGUUUGAUUUGUAUAUGCUAUAAUUUUUCUAUUAUUUUUUGUAAUCUAUUGAUGGGGAUAUGAAAGUUAUAUUUAUUUCAAAACAUGAAUGGAGCUGGAUGCUAAAGCAAUUUCAUAUAUUUAUUUGCCCAUUCUAUUCAACUGCCACUGUUGUUUAGAAUUGGAUAUUUCUAAAUUGCAUGUGGACAUGGUCAACAGUGCUUAGAUUCUUUCCAAUUUAGGAGUUCCAUGGGUGAUUAAAUUUUACAUGUAUUAAGGAUAAUUAACAAUAACAUUGUUGUUUUUUCUCGAAGGUUCAUGUUGAAUUAAGGAAAUGGCAACUUGGCUGGGUUUUGAAUGCCAUUGUUUCCCUUUGGCUUGUUGCAGUUCUUGUACCGAUUGUUAGAGUGGCCGCUUUUAUAUGGUGGGCAAGACGCAAUAUAGAUCAAAGCAAUUUGGAAAUAAAUUUCAAAUAUUCAAGUAAGUAAUAUUCAUUUUUAUUUUCCUUAUAUGUAAGAACAUUGAAUACUGCAUAACUUCUUAUUCAUUUGUGUAUUGGUUCUUCCUUUACAAAUAUGAGGUGGAUGACAUGUUUGUGAGGGACUUCACCAACAAAACUUCCACCUUUGGACAGGUUUUUGUAUAUAAGUAAUCAGAUUACUCAUUUCCUACGCAAACUGCCGUCAAAGGUUUUGUUAGUUGAUGAACCCUAUUCAGCUGUCGAAAUAAGAUAGUAUCGACAUUGUAGCCGAUGAGCUCUCUUCCUUUGCCUGAGUGUAUCAACGAAAUUGAAAAUGAAGGGAUAAACACUUCUUCAAAAGAUGUCCCAAACGAUCAAUAAGUAAGGUUCUUGGUCCUGAUCGGGAUCAUAUUAAAGCAUUUGGAUAUGGAGUCACUACAUCGAAACCAAUUGGAACUUCACCUCCAAUAAGAAUAUUAAUAGCAACAAUACUCUCCGCAAGUGCACAUUGCUAGAUUGGGGUGGUACAAGAGAGGUGGUUGCUGAAGGUUGAUGGUCCUCAAAUGAUCCUAAAGUUACUGUUCACCAUGUUCCUCUCGGUCCUCAUGCUGUUAGAGUUUGGGUGGAACUGCCAAAGAAAUCGAAAGACCUAACUCAAAGAGCACAUACAUUGAGUUUUUGUAUGUACAUUCUUUAACUAUUCACCUCAAGCUAGCCUUUUUAACUAAAAUCUUUGUGUAUAAACUUAAUUAUUCAUUUAGCUUUUGUUCAUAAUAUUUUUGUUGGUUGAUGAAAGAACAAUUGUACAAAGCACAAGAAUGUGAUGACUAAGAAUUGUACAAAGCUCUAUUACAUUUUUGUAACUAAUGGAUAAUAUAGGUCGAUCAUCUGUUGGAUUAGGUGAUAUAUUAGUGACUAUCUUUUGUGAGAAUACUUAACAAUAGAAAUGGCAUUUUGUGCAGGGCAUUGUAAAUC
Molecule: RNA transcript, 1757 nt
Organism: Cucumis melo (muskmelon)
Lineage: Eukaryota; Viridiplantae; Streptophyta; Magnoliopsida; Cucurbitales; Cucurbitaceae
Exons: 8
Source: RefSeq, a predicted model, not a curated record